This 825-nucleotide ribosomal RNA is filed under the name uncultured Alphaproteobacteria bacterium. RNAcentral describes it as "bacterial SSU rRNA". It matches the Rfam family "Bacterial small subunit ribosomal RNA", at positions 8 to 882 of the family's 1533-position model. Lineage: Bacteria; Pseudomonadati; Pseudomonadota; Alphaproteobacteria. The record is from RNAcentral.
AGAGUUUGAUCCUGGCUCAGAACGUACGCUGGCGGCACGCCUAACACAUGCAAGUCGAACGAAGUAGCAAUACUUAGUGGCAGACGGGUGAGUAACAUGUGGGUAUCUACCCUUUGGCCUGGAAUAACACGAGGAAACUUGUGCUAAUACCGGAUAAGUCUUUACGGAGAAAGCUUUAUGCACCAUUGGAUGAGCCCGCACUUGAUUAGUUUGUUGGUAGGGUAAUGGCCUACCAAGACUAUGAUCAAUAGCUGAUUUGAGAGGAUGAUCAGCCACAUUGGGACUGAGACACGGCCCAAACUCCUACGGGAGGCAGCAGUGGGGAAUCUUGCACAAUGGAGGAAACUCUGAUGCAGCGAUGCCGCGUGAGUGAAGAAGGCCUUUGGGUUGUAAAGCUCUUUCGUCGGGGAAGAAAAUGACUGUACCCGAAUAAGAAGGUCCGGCUAACUUCGUGCCAGCAGCCGCGGUAAUACGAAGGGACCUAGCGUAGUUCGGAAUUACUGGGCUUAAAGAGUUCGUAGGUGGUUGAAAAAGUUGGUGGUGAAAUCCCAGAGCUUAACUCUGGAACUGCCAUCAAAACUUUUCAGCUAGAGUAUGAUAGAGGAAAGCAGAAUUUCUAGUGUAGAGGUGAAAUUCGUAGAUAUUAGAAAGAAUACCAAUUGCGAAGGCAGCUUUCUGGAUCAUUACUGACACUGAGGAACGAAAGCAUGGGUAGCGAAGAGGAUUAGAUACCCUCGUAGUCCAUGCCGUAAACGAUGUGUGUUAGACGUUGGAAAUUUAUUUUCAGUGUCGCAGGAAACCGAUAAACACACCGCCUGGGGAGUA